Molecule: ribosomal RNA, 602 nt
Filed under: Naganishia liquefaciens
Lineage: Eukaryota; Fungi; Basidiomycota; Tremellomycetes; Filobasidiales; Filobasidiaceae
Description: eukaryotic LSU rRNA
Rfam family: Eukaryotic large subunit ribosomal RNA
Source: RNAcentral
AGCGGAGGAAAAGAAACUAACAAGGAUUCCCCUAGUAACGGCGAGUGAAGCGGGAAGAGCUCAAAUUUGAAAUCUAGUAGCCUUCGGCUGCUCGAGUUGUAAUCUAGAGAAGUGUUUUCCGUGCCGGCCCAUGUACAAGUCCCUUGGAACAGGGCGUCAUAGAGGGUGAGAAUCCCGUCCUUGACAUGGACCCCCGGUGCUCUGUGAUACACUUUCAACGAGUCGAGUUGUUUGGGAAUGCAGCUCAAAAUGGGUGGUGAAUUCCAUCUAAAGCUAAAUAUUGGCGAGAGACCGAUAGCGAACAAGUACCGUGAGGGAAAGAUGAAAAGCACUUUGGAAAGAGAGUUAAACAGUACGUGAAAUUGUUGAAAGGGAAACGAUUGAAGUCAGUCAUGCUCUUUGGUAUUUAUAUCAUUGAGUGGGGUCAACAUCAGUUUUGAUCGAUGGAUAAAGGCACUAGGAAGGUAGCACUCUCGGGUGAACUUAUAGCCUGGCGUCAUAUACAUUGAUUGGGACUGAGGAACGCAGCAUGCCUUUAUGGCCGGGAUUCGUCCACGUACAUGCUUAGGAUGUUGACAUAAUGGCUUUAAACGACCCGUCUU